AGUCUGCAACUCGACUACAUGAAGCUGGAAUCGCUAGUAAUCGCGAAUCAGAAUGCCGCGGUGAAUACGUUCCCGGGUCUUGUACACACCGCCCGUCACACCAUGGGAGUCGGAAAUGCCCGAAGUCUGUGACCCAACCGCGAGGAGGGAGCAGCCGAAGGCAGGUCGGAUGACUGGGGUGAAGUCGUAACAAGGUAGC
RNAcentral lists this ribosomal RNA (199 nucleotides) under uncultured bacterium. RNAcentral describes it as "partial 16S ribosomal RNA". It matches the Rfam family "Bacterial small subunit ribosomal RNA", at positions 1302 to 1500 of the family's 1533-position model. The record is from RNAcentral.